RNAcentral lists this unclassified non-coding RNA (159 nucleotides) under uncultured Capnodiales. RNAcentral describes it as "sequence contains ITS1". The record is from RNAcentral. Lineage: Eukaryota; Fungi; Ascomycota; Dothideomycetes; Capnodiales.
AUGAGUGAAGAGACCCUCGCGGUCUCGACCUCCAACCCUCUUGUUUUACAAACCAUGUUGCCUCGGGGGCGACCCGGCCUUUACUGGCAAUGGGUACCCCCGGUGGACCACUAAACUCUGCGUACAUCUUGCGUCUGAGUAUUAUGAUUUAAUUAAUCA